Molecule: ribosomal RNA, 254 nt
Filed under: uncultured bacterium
Lineage: Bacteria
Description: partial 16S ribosomal RNA
Rfam family: Bacterial small subunit ribosomal RNA
Source: RNAcentral
UACGUAGGUGGCAAGCGUUGUCCGGAUUUACUGGGCGUAAAGAGCGCGCAGGCGGUCGUUCAAGUCGAGUGUGAAAGCCCCCGGCUCAACUGGGGAGGGUCACUCGAUACUGAUCGACUCGAAGGCAGGAGAGGGUAGUGGAAUUCCCGGUGUAGUGGUGAAAUGCGUAGAUAUCGGGAGGAACCCCAGUGGCGAAGGCGACUACCUGGCCUGUUUCUUGACGCUGAGGCGCGAAAGCUAGGGGAGCAAACGGG